UGUAUACAACUGUCGUUCUUGUCUUGCCACC
RNAcentral lists this non-coding RNA (31 nucleotides) under Homo sapiens (human). The record is from RNAcentral. Lineage: Eukaryota; Metazoa; Chordata; Mammalia; Primates; Hominidae.